RNAcentral lists this long non-coding RNA (1804 nucleotides) under Monodelphis domestica (gray short-tailed opossum). Its description in RNAcentral is "lncRNA (ENSMODG00000037892.1)". Lineage: Eukaryota; Metazoa; Chordata; Mammalia; Didelphimorphia; Didelphidae. The record is from RNAcentral.
UCUCGCUCUCGUUUUUAUUAGAUUGUGAGGCUGGGGUCUACAUCUCCUGCUUGCGUUCUUAAUCUAUGUGCAUCAGGCUUGUGGUCUCUACUGGUUUCCUUAUUUGUUUAUUUUCUGUGCUUGUGAGGCCGGGGUCUCUCUUGCUUUCAACCUUUUUAUUAGCUUGUGAGGUUGGGACAUUUCUCCUAUUUUGGAUCUUUUAUCUUUUCCCGUGAGGCUGGGGUCUCUUGUCAGCAUACUCAAUGAGCUUGAAGCUAGGGGCUCUCUCGGGGGCGCGCGCUACCUCUAUGAAUUUGUGAGGCCGGGACCUUUUCCCGAGUUUGUUUAUGAAGCGGGGCCCUCAACCUCUUUGAGGACGGGGGCUCCGUUUCGCUUUUUCUUUGUGAGCCUAGGGGUGGGGGGAUGUCUCCUUCUCUUACUCUCGCCUUUGAGCGUGCGCGUGUGCGUGCGUGCGUGCGUGCGUGAGUCUGGGGUCUCUGGCUCGUACCUUCUUUGUAAUCGAGGCCCGGGACUUUCUUGGCUAUGACUUUACUUUCUUUGAGUGUGAGAGCCUGGGGUCUUCUUUGAUUCACUUUUCCUCACUCCUUUGGGGUGUGCGCGGGCUUGUGAAGCUGGUUGGUCCCUUCCACGCACGCUUUCCUUGGCUCUCAGUUCAAGUGAGGCUGGGGGCACCCGUGAAUGUUUGGAUACAGCCGCGGACUGAAAAAACCCUAGCGGGUUUUGCUAGCUGGUCUGGGUUCAACACCCUUUGAAAGUUUAAUCAGAAGUGGCCAUUAGACUCGCGUAACCCAUUGGUUCCUUAUAGAAAAUGUAAAAGACCCCCAGAGAGCGGGAACAGAUACUUUAUAAUCUUUAAAUGAAGGAAUCCUUUAGGAGACCGAGAAAACAAGCCUAAUAUGUGAUCAGUGGUGGGUCCGAAGACUUCCCAAAAUAUAGGGGGGCAAUUUUCAGGAUCCCAAGUGCACUUGGGCAAACUUUCCAGUUGCCUCCCUUCUCCCCCUCAGAGAAAGUGCAAAGAAAUGCAGAUUAGCCCGCAGACCACCGGGACAAUGCCCAAUUGCCUACUGCUGCUGUCCCAACCCAAGCACUGCCCUACCUCCAAAGGAGGAAGAGGAAGAGAAAGAGGAAGAGACACCAAACAAGAAAGAAACAGCACGGAGGAUAAAGCAAGAACUUAGAAAAUUUCACCACCUCAUAGUGAUCCACAAGCUGCAACCUACCUUCCAAAGGCCGCUUCCAGAAAACUUUAAGUCAUCCUCAAGGAUCUUGUACGAUUAUUGCACAUCCAUGGGAGAUUCAAGUUGGUGAGAGAUUCUUUAAGAUAAGAUAACUGGAGUCUACUAGAGAAGUUAAGUCCCUUCUCCAGCAUCACACAGGUACAGAAUUUGAGCUGAGCCUCUCUAACUCUAAAGUGAGCACUCUUUAUGCUAUGCCAUGAAUCCAACAAGCUUUUUUACUUUGUUUAUUAUAUUUAUUACUUAUAUUAUAUUUAUGACUUCUAAUUUUUUAAAUUUCUCUUCAAAUCUCCUAUUGAGCAUCAAUUCCCUAACCUUUACACCAUAAAAUACAGAAAUACAGUUUCCAAAGAAUAUUGAGGCCAUCUAAGAACUUCCUUAAUUGUUUUUUUCUACUCUUCUAAACCUUUGAGCAUCAUCAUUCACUUUCUCCUCUUACUCUCUCUUAUAAGGAAAAAAUAUAUCAUAAUAUGUUAUUUAAUGCUACUCCCUCUGCUUGUAUUCGCCUGACCCUUAGCACAUAAUAGGUGCUUAAUAAAUUCUAUGACUGCCUCUGGAUCUUGUUGUAU